Molecule: ribosomal RNA, 537 nt
Filed under: Campylobacter jejuni
Lineage: Bacteria; Pseudomonadati; Campylobacterota; Epsilonproteobacteria; Campylobacterales; Campylobacteraceae
Description: partial 23S ribosomal RNA
Rfam family: Bacterial large subunit ribosomal RNA
Source: RNAcentral
AGGUAAGCUACUAAGAGCGAAUGGUGGAUGCCUUGACUGGUAAAGGCGAUGAAGGACGUACUAGACUGCGAUAAGCUACGGGGAGCUGUCAAGAAGCUUUGAUCCGUAGAUUUCCGAAUGGGGCAACCCAAUGUAUAGAGAUAUACAUUACCUAUAUAGGAGCGAACGAGGGGAAUUGAAACAUCUUAGUACCCUCAGGAAAAGAAAUCAAUAGAGAUUGCGUCAGUAGCGGCGAGCGAAAGCGCAAGAGGGCAAACCCAGUGCUUGCACUGGGGGUUGUAGGACUGCAAUGUGCAAGAGGUAAGUUUAGCAGAACAUUCUGGAAAGUAUAACCAUAGAGGGUGAUAGUCCCGUAUGCGAAAAACAAACCUUAGCUAGCAGUAUCCUGAGUAGGGCGGGACACGAGGAAUCCUGUCUGAAUCCGGGUCGACCACGAUCCAACCCUAAAUACUAAUACCAGAUCGAUAGUGCACAAGUACCGUGAGGGAAAGGUGAAAAGAACUGAGGUGAUCAGAGUGAAAUAGAACCUGAAACCAU